UGAGUUUAUUUAAAUGGUUCUGGUUCUUCAAUCACUCUUUCGGAGUAACCAGUGUCAAGUUCAUUGCCACAAGAGUUCGCUCUGCCCCAAAACUCUGUCCAAAAUCGGCGCCACACACAUCUGGUUCAAAUUAAGAGAUUCCAUCCGAAAGUUUCAAAAGCAGCUGACAAGAGAGUCAAUUGAACUUUGCCUAUAUUAUAUGUGCUUGGAAUGAACUUUGCCAUUGUCUAGACAAAUUAAGAGCAGCGGCGACCGAAUAAAAUUUAUGUAUGUCGCCCGCAGGCGUUGCGGUGAAUAGUGUUUAAUUGUUGGCUUUGGGGCCACGCGGCGUAUACGCAAUGUUGUCCAGUGCCACUUGUUCGGUUUUUUUUGUUGUACAUACGAGUAUGUGAUAAGCGUCGUCAGUUUGUCUGGCAAUGAGAUGGCAGCUGGUAGCUGGUGUUGCGCUAUUCUGGGUGUGAUGUCAUAAGUCAACAGAAGAGGAAUCUAUGCUAUAUGGCGAUCGGUUCGGAGAUCGUUAAUUAAAAUUUCCAGCGAGUACUUCAUUAGCAUCGUCGUCAGCUGCCACGCGUUGCUCAGCUGCCGCGCUCCAAUGCUUAAUUAAUAAAUCAACGCGACACUUGCACUCCAUCUUGGCGAUGGCCGUAUCUGCUGCCCCGAUGAUGAUGGUGAUGCUGCUGUUGAUGAUGAUGAUGAUCAUGGUGAUGGUGAGGAUGAGAUGCUCGCCGAGAUUGUUGCCAUGCCGGGCCAGACAAAUUGACGCGACAUUCCACGCCUGUGGGAGGGGAGUUGCUGCUGGUGGUCAGUGGCUAAUAGAAAUGUUAAAUAUAGCUGCCGCCGAUGAUGAUGACAUCUGUGCCAUCAAACCGGAAACGGAAACGAUUCUAAUCGCCAGCCACGGAUCUGCUAGUGGGCCCUUCGUGUCCACCAGUGGGCAGCUCAGCUCUUAAUUGGAGGCAGGCACUUCCUGGUCUUUAAUCACAGAAGCAAGCUCUUGUAAUCUUAUACAUAUUUUACAAAUUUUGAAAUGCCUUACAAUUUCCCGUUUAAUAAAAAGUUAAAGUCUAGCACACUUUUUAGAGGUAUAUAGCUAAAGGAGCUACUUCACAAAUAUAAGUAGAAAGUAUUCUACAGCAAAACAUAUCACUUGUGUCUUAGGAAAAUUCAUCACGGAGACAAUUGACUUUUGUGCGCAGUAGGUAGAUAUAUCAGAUUUGUCAUAGCAUUUUUUCAAAGGAAUCAGAACUUAGUCAUCUCAGAAGGCGUGCACUGCAAAACGUAGUUAAUAACAAACCCAAUCGAGCAAAAAUAGCACAAGAGAGCGACUGGCGAAUGUGAUUAUUUAAUAAUUGUUGCAUAUGCGCGGCAAAAUAAUUAUACUACUUAUACAUAUGUGCUGGUGUUCCACGCGAAGUAAACAAUAAGAAGCGUUGAUAGAAGCGGGCAAAACAAUCACAAUUAGAGAAAUAUGCAGUCAAAGUGUUAGCAAGGAAGUAAAAAUCGCUGAAAUUGCAACUGGGCGCGCGUCGCGUUUUAGUUUUUCAGUAUGUCUAAAAAUAAAGCGAAGCAAAUAAAUUUACAUUUUUAAUUGCAAUUAUCGCUGGCUAUUGUUGUAGUUGCUCGCUGGCUACUGUUUGCCUUUGGCGUUACGAACAAUUAAGAUGAUUUAUUAGCAGCGCAUUUUUAUGAG
RNAcentral lists this small RNA (1690 nucleotides) under Drosophila yakuba. RNAcentral describes it as "GE28103". Lineage: Eukaryota; Metazoa; Arthropoda; Insecta; Diptera; Drosophilidae. The record is from RNAcentral.